AUCCAGCUGACGAGUCCCAAGUAGGACAAAACGCGCUUGUCCUGUAU
This 47-nucleotide non-coding RNA is filed under the name Schistosoma mattheei. Lineage: Eukaryota; Metazoa; Platyhelminthes; Trematoda; Strigeidida; Schistosomatidae. The record is from RNAcentral.